GAUGAACGCUGGCGGCGUGCCUAAUACAUGCAAGUCGAGCGAACAGAUGAGGAGCUUGCUCCUCUGACGUUAGCGGCGGACGGGUGAGUAACACGUGGAUAACCUACCUAUAAGACUGGGAUAACUUCGGGAAACCGGAGCUAAUACCGGAUAAUAUAUUGAACCGCAUGGUUCAAUAGUGAAAGACGGUUUUGCUGUCACUUAUAGAUGGAUCCGCGCCGCAUUAGCUAGUUGGUAAGGUAACGGCUUACCAAGGCAACGAUGCGUAGCCGACCUGAGAGGGUGAUCGGCCACACUGGAACUGAGACACGGUCCAGACUCCUACGGGAGGCAGCAGUAGGGAAUCUUCCGCAAUGGGCGAAAGCCUGACGGAGCAACGCCGCGUGAGUGAUGAAGGUCUUCGGAUCGUAAAACUCUGUUAUUAGGGAAGAACAAAUGUGUAAGUAACUAUGCACGUCUGGACGGUACCUAAUCAGAAAGCCACGGCGAACUACGG
Molecule: ribosomal RNA, 496 nt
Filed under: uncultured bacterium
Lineage: Bacteria
Description: partial 16S ribosomal RNA
Rfam family: Bacterial small subunit ribosomal RNA
Source: RNAcentral